RNAcentral lists this long non-coding RNA (501 nucleotides) under Helianthus annuus (common sunflower). The record is from RNAcentral. Lineage: Eukaryota; Viridiplantae; Streptophyta; Magnoliopsida; Asterales; Asteraceae.
CCGCCAAAAUCAGAAUCACUGAAAGCUACCAAUUCAAAGUUAUUAUCCCUAGGGUACCACAGACCGGUGUCGGGGUACGUCUUCAAAUAACGAAAAAUCCUUUUGACAGCAGCAAGAUGUGAGGCCUUCGGGUUAACUUGAUAUCUGGCAAGCAGGCACGUCGGGUACAUUAUGUCUGGCCUUGAUGCUGUGAGGCAUGUUGGGUACAUUAUAUCUGGCCUUGAUGCUGUGAGGUACAUAAGGGAUCCGAUCAUCGCGCGAUAGUAUGAAGGGCUAACAGGUUCACCCUUCAAGUCAGGAGUAAUUCCAUGAUUAGUUGGCAAUGGGGUACCAAUGGGCGUUGCAUCGGACAUCUGGAACCGGCUCAAGAUGUCUCCAACAUAUUUAGUCUGAUGGAUGAAUAUCCCAGACUCCGUUUGUUGCACUUGUAGGCCCAAAAAGAAAUUCAUUUCCCCCAUAGCACUCAUCUCGAACUUAUCCUGCAUGAUGCGCUCGAAAUUC